RNAcentral lists this ribosomal RNA (496 nucleotides) under uncultured soil bacterium. RNAcentral's name for it is "bacterial SSU rRNA". It matches the Rfam family "Bacterial small subunit ribosomal RNA", at positions 26 to 540 of the family's 1533-position model. The record is from RNAcentral.
AGAUUGAACGCUGGCGGCAUGCCUUACACAUGCAAGUCGAACGGCAGCACGGGAGCAAUCCUGGUGGCGAGUGGCGAACGGGUGAGUAAUGCAUCGGAACGUGCCCUGAAGUGGGGGAUAACGUAGCGAAAGUUACGCUAAUACCGCAUAUUCUGUGAGCAGGAAAGCAGGGUAUCGCAAGACCUUGUGCUUUAGGAGCGGCCGAUGUCGGAUUAGCUAGUUGGUGAGGUAAAGGCUCACCAAGGCGACGAUCCGUAGCGGGUCUGAGAGGAUGAUCCGCCACACUGGGACUGAGACACGGCCCAGACUCCUACGGGAGGCAGCAGUGGGGAAUUUUGGACAAUGGGCGCGAAGCCUGAUCCAGCCAUGCCGCGUGAGUGAAGAGGCCUUCGGUUGUAAGCUCGUUCGGCGGGAAGAAGUGGCAGUACGGUUAAUACCGUGGUGUCGAGUGACGGUACCGCAGUAAGAAGACGACCGGACUAACGUACGUCGACCG